Molecule: ribosomal RNA, 513 nt
Filed under: uncultured bacterium
Lineage: Bacteria
Description: partial 16S ribosomal RNA
Rfam family: Bacterial small subunit ribosomal RNA
Source: RNAcentral
AAUCAACGCUGGCGGCGUGGAUAAGACAUGCAAGUCGAACGGGACAAGUAGCAAUAUUUGUCUAGUGGCGAACGGGUGCGUAACACGCGGGCAAAAGGCCUGGAAGAGCGGGAUAGCCCGGGGAAAAUCGGAUGAAUACCGCAUGUAAAAACGGGGCGGAUUCGCCCUGUUUUCAAAGGUGGGGACCGCAAGGCCUGCCGCUGCCAGAUUGGCCCGCGGCCUAUCAGCUAGUUGGCGGGGUAACGGCCCACCAAGGCGACGACGGGUAGCUGGUCUGAGAGGUCGACCAGCCACACUGGAACUGAGACACGGUCCAGACACCUACGGGUGGCAGCAGUCGAGAAUCUUUCACAAUGGGGGAAACCCUGAUGGAGCGACGCCGCGUGGAGGAUGACGGUCUUCGGAUUGUAAACUCCUGUCAUGAAAGAACAAGCGGAGCGGGUGAACAGCCCGCCGAGUUGAUAGUAUUUCAAGAGGAAGGGACGGCUAACUUCGUGCCAGCAGCCGCGGUAA